Molecule: ribosomal RNA, 323 nt
Filed under: Erythrobacteraceae bacterium
Lineage: Bacteria; Pseudomonadati; Pseudomonadota; Alphaproteobacteria; Sphingomonadales; Erythrobacteraceae
Description: bacterial SSU rRNA
Rfam family: Bacterial small subunit ribosomal RNA
Source: RNAcentral
CAAACUUGAGAGUUUGAUCCUGGCUCAGAACGAACGCUGGCGGCAUGCCUAACACAUGCAAGUCGAACGAACCCUUCGGGGUGAGUGGCGCACGGGUGCGUAACGCGUGGGAACCUGCCUUUAGGUUCGGAAUAACAGUUAGAAAUGACUGCUAAUACCGGAUAAUGUCUUCGGACCAAAGAUUUAUCGCCUUUAGAUGGGCCCGCGUUGGAUUAGAUAGUUGGUGGGGUAAUGGCCUACCAAGUCGACGAUCCAUAGCUGGUCUGAGAGGAUGAUCAGCCACACUGGGACUGAGACACGGCCCAGACUCCUACGGGAGGCAG